CAUAAAAUAAUAAGCCCAUCAGACCUUAAUUGGCCCAUGCAUUCAUCCAAGUCCAAUUACAAUUACUAUUCUUCUUAUUAAAUAAACUAACAUCAAAAUGAAAUAAUAAUCUGUUCUAAUUUGAAACGAAACAAUUUUUUUCUUCCUCUUUUUUCUUCUUUUCAAUUCUCACCUGCGUCUCUCUCUCUCUCUCCGUUCUCUCGCCGUCCGUCUCUCUCUCUCUCUCGUCCGGCGAGCGUGGACGAUCCUCGCCGCCUCCAGCGUGGCGAGGUCGGCACCCUUCUUCCCCCUCCUCUCCUUCCCGUUUUUUUCCUAUUUCUUCCCUUCAAUCUAAAAUCCCCAAAUUCUAGGGUUUUCUGCCUCCAUUUUCCCUUCUGAAAUCCGCCCCUCCGGCAAGGCCCGUCGUCGUCUCCGUCGCACUGCCACCCCUGCCUCAGAGAUAGGUGCUCUCCAAUGAACAUCGCCGGAUGGAGGCGUUAUCGAUCCGACGAGGCUGCCUUAGUUCUCACUGUUGCUGUUUGAAUUUCAUCUAUUAUUCUUUUUGUAUUUAUUUAGUUAUUAACUCCUUGUAACACUGGUAUUUCCUUGUAAAAAUUACUCUAAAUGCUAACGAAAUUGUAUUAUUGCUUA
Salvia miltiorrhiza (redroot sage) is the source of this 630-nucleotide long non-coding RNA. RefSeq lists it as uncharacterized. The transcript has 2 exons. The record is from RefSeq and is a predicted model, not a curated record. Lineage: Eukaryota; Viridiplantae; Streptophyta; Magnoliopsida; Lamiales; Lamiaceae.